RNAcentral lists this ribosomal RNA (223 nucleotides) under uncultured archaeon. RNAcentral describes it as "partial 16S ribosomal RNA". It matches the Rfam family "Archaeal small subunit ribosomal RNA", at positions 285 to 506 of the family's 1478-position model. The record is from RNAcentral.
CGCGCCCGCCGCGCCCCGCGCCCGUCCCGCCGCCCCCGCCCGCCCUACGGGGCGCAGCAGGCGCGAAAACUUUACAAUGCGGGCAACCGUGAUAAGGGAACCCCGAGUGCCAGCACAGGCUGGCUGUCCGCCAGUGUAAACAACUGGUGAAGAAAGGGCCGGGCAAGACCGGUGCCAGCCGCCGCGGUAAUACCGGCGGCUCGAGUGGUGGCCGCUUUUACUG